This 466-nucleotide ribosomal RNA is filed under the name uncultured bacterium. RNAcentral's name for it is "partial 16S ribosomal RNA". It matches the Rfam family "Bacterial small subunit ribosomal RNA", at positions 28 to 507 of the family's 1533-position model. The record is from RNAcentral.
GAUGAACGCUGGCGGCGUGCUUAACACAUGCAAGUCGAACGAUGAAGCCCAGCUUGCUGGGUGGAUUAGUGGCGAACGGGUGAGUAACACGUGAGUAACCUGCCCUUAACUCUGGGAUAAGCCUGGGAAACUGGGUCUAAUACCGGAUAGGAGCGUCCACCGCAUGGUGGGUGUUGGAGAGAUUUAUCGGUUUUGGAUGGACUCGCGGCCUAUCAGCUUGUUGGUGUGGUAUUGGCUCACCAAGGCGACGACGGGUAGCCGGCCUGAGAGGGUGACCGGCCACACUGGGACUGAGACACGGCCCAGACUCCUACGGGAGGCAGCAGUGGGGAAUAUUGCACAAUGGGCGCAAGCCUGAUGCAGCGACGCCGCGUGAGGGAUGAUGGCCUUCGGGUUGUAAACCUCUUUCAGUAGGGAAGAAGCGAAAGUGACGGUACCUGCAGAAGAAGCACCGGCUAACUACGUG